RNAcentral lists this transfer RNA (71 nucleotides) under Sander vitreus (walleye). RNAcentral describes it as "tRNA-Tyr". It matches the Rfam family "tRNA". From Rfam's summary of the family: Transfer RNA (tRNA) molecules are approximately 80 nucleotides in length. Their secondary structure includes four short double-helical elements and three loops (D, anti-codon, and T loops). The record is from RNAcentral. Lineage: Eukaryota; Metazoa; Chordata; Actinopteri; Perciformes; Percidae.
GGUAGGAUGGCUGAGUGCCCAAGCGGUGGAUUGUAACCCCACAAACAGAGGUUCAAAUCCUCUUCUUAUCA